AAGACGGGCAGCGCCCUGCCGUCGAGCGGCCCCAAGUGGGUGCCCAUUCCGGCGCAGCCGGAAAGCAAGUGGGUGCCCAUUCCGGCGCAGCCGGAAAGCCCGCUGCCGACGGGCGUCUCGAAAGCAACAGCCCUCGCGGAGGCGAAAUCGGGAACGCCGUCGCAGCAGAGCCUGCCUAAGGCCAUGCCGGCAACACCGUCGCACCAGGGCUUACCGAAAUCGCUGCCCAUUGAGGCGAGAUUGACGCUACUGUCGCAGCAGAGCCUGCCGAAGGCCAUGCCUGUUGUUGAGCCGAGAUUGGUGGCACAGUUGCAGCAGAGCCUGCCGAAGGCCAUGCCUGUUGUUGAGGCGAGACUGACAGCACCGUCGCAGCAGUGUCUGCCCAAGGCCAUGCCUGUUGUUGAGCCAAGAUUGGCAACACCGUCGCAGCCGAGCCUGCCCAAGGCCAUGCCUGUUGUCGAGCCGAGAUUGGCAACAGCGUCACAGCAGAGCCUGCCCAAAGCAAUGCCCGUUGUCGAGGUGAAGUCAGCAACGCCGUCACAGCAGAGUCCGCCAAAGGCAACGCCUGAUGAGGUGAAGUCAGCAACGCCGUCGCAGCAGAGUCCGCCAAAGGCAACGCCUGAUGAGGUGAAGUCAGCAACACCGUCAGAGCAGAGCCUCCCAAAUGCAGUGCCUGUUGUCGAGGUGAAAUCCGCAACACCGUCACAGCAGAGCCUGCCCAAAGCAAUGCCUGUUGUCGAGGCAAGAUUGGCAACACCGUCACAGCAGAGCCUGCCCAAAGCAAUGCCUGUUGUCGAGAUGAAAUCGGGAACCCCGUCGCAGCAGAGCCUCACAAAACCAGCGCCCACCGUCGAGGUGAAAUCGGCAAGCCCCCUUCCCCAGAGCCAGUCGAAACCAACACCCGUCACAACAGCACAGGCGGCCGCUCCGCCGUGCCAGAGCCCCUCCAAACCAGUGCCCGUCGUGGUGACACAGCCGGCACCUCCGCCAGGGCAGAGCCUCCCGAAACCGCCGCCUGUUGCCACAGCCCAGCCAGGCCUGACC
This 1044-nucleotide long non-coding RNA is filed under the name Struthio camelus australis. RNAcentral describes it as "lncRNA (ENSSCUG00000003621.1)". Lineage: Eukaryota; Metazoa; Chordata; Aves; Struthioniformes; Struthionidae. The record is from RNAcentral.